RNAcentral lists this transfer RNA (82 nucleotides) under Pythium insidiosum. Its description in RNAcentral is "tRNA-Ser". It matches the Rfam family "tRNA". Rfam says of the family: Transfer RNA (tRNA) molecules are approximately 80 nucleotides in length. Their secondary structure includes four short double-helical elements and three loops (D, anti-codon, and T loops). Further hydrogen bonds mediate the characteristic L-shaped molecular structure. tRNAs have two regions of fundamental functional importance: the anti-codon, which is responsible for specific mRNA codon recognition, and the 3' end, to which the tRNAs corresponding amino acid is attached (by aminoacyl-tRNA synthetases). tRNAs cope with the degeneracy of the genetic code in two manners: having more than one tRNA (with a specific anti-codon) for a particular amino acid; and 'wobble' base-pairing, i.e. permitting non-standard base-pairing at the 3rd anti-codon position. The record is from RNAcentral. Lineage: Eukaryota; Oomycota; Peronosporomycetes; Pythiales; Pythiaceae.
GACAGCUUGGCCGAGUGGUUAAGGCGAUGGACUUGAAAUCCAUUGGGGUAACCUGCGUGAGUUUCAAAUCUCACAGCUGUCG